AAAGAGAUGGGGCUGAGGCCACCGGCUUGCAAGGGACCCUGCCUGCAGCUUCCAGAGCCCAGCGGCUGGGCCAUGCGGAGAGGAACGGACUGGCUGGGACCUGGCAUGGGUCCAGUCCUGCCACCACUUUGCUCCUGGACAGGGUCAUCUGUGCCUCUUUUCAUCCGGGCAAAUAAGAUUCGACGAUGCAGGAAUCUCUGGGACUUUGCUCCUAGGACUGCCCGGGAAUCUUGACCCAUCGCUAAGUAAGAUGGUGUUUAUAAACACAGGGGAACCUCUCAAAGGAACAAAAAGCAUUUAUUCACUCAACCUGGGACUUCAACUUUAUGGAAGAAGUAAGAGAAGAAGAGGAAGAAGAGGAAGAAGAAGCGGUGGCGGCGGAGGAGGAAGAGGAGGAGGAGGAAGAGAAGAGGAAGAAGAAGAAGGAGGAGGAGUAGCAGGAGGAGAAGAAGAGGAGGAGGAGGAGGAAUGCAUUUGUAUUCCGUCUGGAAAAGAGCUUUCCCUAGGCAAAGCUAAGACACACAGCUGCAGCCUUGACCGAUGACAGCUGUCCAUUUCAGGUCCCACUCAUAGAAAUAAUGACCCGGGCACAGGCAGCAAUUGUAGCAGACGCUAUUCCUUUUUUCUGUGUGUGCAUCAUUUUCGUUUGGUUUGUUUCUUACUCUUUGGUAGGAAUUUCUGCUUGAUGCUCCCACAGGACCUCGGUUCAGCUGGAUCAGUGGAAAACCUGUACAACUUGUCCCUUUAUAAAAACUCCCAGUUACAGUUUUUCUUUGAUAUUUACUUUGGAAUACCUAGAGACUCUUCCCACCCACAUCCCCCUUUCCAAAGACAACAUGGUCGUGUUGGAAACAAAAUUCGGGAGACCAGAGGACUUUGACUGUGGGAAGAAAUGUGGUAGUUUAGGAACCUGCGACUCCUUCUUCCCAGCCCUCCAGACCCUCCAAAGAGCUGUUGACAAGAGCCUUAGAUGAAGGCCCUGAGCUGUAGCCUAGCGCAAUUCUCCUUUGCCUAUCUGAAGAGCAGGACAGGCAGGAUUAGCGAGGCAAACAAAACCUGAAGGACUUCUUAAUAGCCAGACAUCUGAGGCCCUUCAGAACCACUUUGAAGAUCGGGGGUGAUACUGGCUGAGGCUCCAGGUUUAUCAUUUGAUUUGUGACUUUCAGCUCAGGCAGGAGACAGAGAGGAGAGUUCACCAGAGACAAGUCACUUCUGUUGAAUGAGUCACCAUCGCCACACAGCUGCUUGUUCCAGAGCAGCUAUGGUGGGGACAUUGUCUAGGAUCCCAGGAAAAGUGAAAACAUUGACCGGAAUGUUUCCAGCACAAUGAAUGUGAUAACAGAGAAUGAAUAAGUGGAACAGCUCCAACACAGCCAAGAAGAUGUUGCUUUAUGAGAGCUGACUUUCCCCAGAGCAGUGCGCUCCCAUCACAAGGAGGAUUAAUUCAUACAUUUCAAGGCCUAAAUGACAGACGAUAAAUGUGUGUAAUUAUGUAAGUGAGCCCACUGUGUUAGUAUGCAAAGGUGCCCACUUUUCCUGCAUCAGAUAUUGACCCUCUUCCAUGUCAAAAUUCAGAGAGUGACAGCUGCCAAUCUCACCCCAGCAUCCUCACCUGCUAACCAGGUAUCUGUACUCACUCAGCGUGCCUGCUUGGCGAAUCUCAGCUGAGUCAGUUACAACAGGUCCCCUUUCAGACAGGUGAUGAUUAGAAGGUUUGUGACUCAAAGAGCAUGACGUGUUCCCUUUCCUCUGCAGCAGGAAGAUACUCCCUGAUAUCGUAGCAGUGACUCAGCCUGCCAAGACAAUCCAUUUCAUUCUUGUACCAUUCUUGCAUAAAUCACAGUGCAGAAAGCUUGGCAAGAUAAUUUUUAAAUUUUAAACUCGACCAGGAGAACUGUUGAGAAAUAAGACUUCAUAUUGAAGUACGUUUCCUCUCCUCGGAAGCUUUCAAGAGGCGAUGCUGGGUGAAGGGUUACUCCAAGUUCUGGAGGCUGAAAGUCCAAGAUCACGAUGCUGGCAGAAUCGGUGUCUGGUGGGAGCCUGUUUCCUGGCUCGUUGAUGGUGCCUUCUCCUUGGGUCCUCACCCGGUGAAAGAGUGCUUGUUUUCAGCCCAGUGUUCCUGCUGUUUCAUGGUGAUUGGCAGAAGCUGCACUUCUGAGAGAUGGGAGGAGGGAUUCUUCUUCCUCUCUCAUCCCAUCACCUGCUCCAGAAGGCAGCUGGAGCAAGAUGCGUAUGGUGACAAGACUGUUAGGAGGAAGGAGAAAUUCUAGAAAACAAUGUGACAUCUUCAAAGAGCCAGGAAUGCUGGUGGUGUGGCUCAGUCCCAAGUCCCAAGUUCAAAUCUGAAGACCUAAGAACCAGAAGCUCCCAACGUGAGGGCAGGAGAAGAUGGAUGUCCUGGCUACAACACAGAAAGAAAAUUCACCCUUCCGCUACAUUUUUUGUACUGUUUGGGCUCUGAAAGUGAAACUGCCUUUGCAAAAUUAUGACUGAGACAGUGAAAAAGAUCCAACUUAACCAAUUUCAUCUUGCCUCUAACCUCCAAGCUGUCCUUGUUCAUUCUUGUCAUAGGCUGAACUAACUUUGGGAGAAACUUAGUUCAUAGUUUACAGUUUAAAACAAAGACAAUAACAGCCCUUUCCCAAAACAAACCUCCUUCUUGCCUGGGAACUAGGCUACUAACAUUAGCCACAAGAUUAGUAAUUACGGUUUAGGAGUCAUGCAGCUGGAGGCUACGAGAUUCUGAACCUCUUUAAACUGCUUCUAAAAUCCGUGCUUGAGAUGUUUUGUAGACCCUGCACUUGAUGAAGCAGCUGGCACCACACAGAUGGAUAAACUGGCCCAUCUGAUCUUGUGACCCCCACCCAGGAGCUAACUCAGCCCAAGAAGACAGUGAUGCUCCAUGAUUUCAUCUCCAACCCAACCAAUCAGCACUCCCCAACUCACUGCCCCUCCCCACCCACCAAAUUAUCUUCAAAAACUCUGAUCUCCAAAUGUUCGGGGAGACUGAUUUGAGUAAUAAUAAAACUCCAGCUUCCACACAGCUGGCUCUGUGUGAACUACUCUUUCUCCAUUGCAUUUCCCCUGUCUUGAUAAAUCGGUUCUGUCUAAGCAGCGAACAAGGUGAACCCGCUGGGAGGUUACAAAAGAACUGGAUUAUGCCCACAUUGGCGAGGGUGGGUCUUCUUUACCUCCAUUCACCAAUUCAAAAAUCAAUCCCAUCAAGUCAAAUGAAAUGCAAAUCUCUUCCAAAAACACACCUGGGAAUGGACUUUUACCAGCUAUCUGGGCAUCCCUUUGCCCAGUCAAGUUGACAUAAAAUUAACUAUCAAAAAAGUCUUUCUGAAAAGUGGAUUAGCCGGGCACAGUGGCUCACACCUGUAAUCCCAGCACUUUGGGAGGCCGACGUGGGCAGAUCGCAAGGUCAGGAGAUCGAGACCAACCUGACUGACACGGGGAAACCCUGUUUCUACUAAAAAUACAAAAAAUUAGCUAGGUGUGUUGUUGGGUGCCUAUAGUCCCAGCUACUCGGGAGGCUGAGGCAGGAGAAUGACCUGAACCGGGGAGGUGGAGCUUGCAGUGAGCCGAGGUCGUGCCACUGCAGUCCAGCCUGGGGCACCUGGGGCAACAGAGUGAGACUCCAUCUCAAAAAAAAAAAAAAAAGAAAGAAAAGUGGAUUAAAGAUCUUAAUUUUACCAAUCAAGUAAAAAUAUACAUUGCAAUAUAAAAUAUUAUUUUGUGAAUCUUUUUCUGAAGAUUUAAAAAUUAUCCAAUAAAUAUGUUUAAUCUAGAUUUUAUUAUAACAAAAACCACUAUGUCUGCUGAUUGGUCAAAUUCAAGACCUGUACAAUAAGGAUCACUAAAAUAUGAGCUGGCGGAGGACAGGGUUUUGGCUGCAUUCUUACAGCUGUAUCUGUGGCACCACGGACAGGUUUGAUUUCAGUGGGUGACUUGGCACUUAGUAAACACAUUCGCUGACUGAGUUGAAUACUUAAUUAUGUGUCAGCCUCUGGAUUUAACACACACUCUCUUGCCCAAAUUUCACAACUGCCCUAUGUAAUAGACAUUACUCUGCAUUCCUAAUACUGAGAAAACAGAGGUAUUAAGGGCUUGAGUAACUUGCUGCAAUUCUCCAGUUAGUGAGUGAUAAAGUCAGAAUGCGAAUCUUUACCUAAAUGCCUCCCUUGAUGACCAACCUGUGAAACAGCUACUGAUAUCUCAUGUGUACUGAAGAUGAGGUUUCCUGGCUCAGCUGAUAAGUCAAGUGUUUUUGGUAGGGACCUACACAAUGGGAUGAUUCAGCUUUUAUGGACUCUGCUCCUUUAGUCUAUUCUGAAGGGUUAUAUAAUGGAUUUUUCUCUUUUACUAAUGUGUAUCAUUUUAUUAGUGUUUGAAGUCUUGUAAAAAGUAAUAUCUGAAGGAUGUAAGACAGCAAGUGAGAAAGAAACAGCUCAGAAGAGACUGAGUAAUGCUGAGUAAUGUUACCUGAACUUCCUGCUCUGCUGGGGUUCCUCUCAUACCAUAUGAGUGGGUAAAGGGUGAAACGAAAAUCUUAUCUCAACAUCCUUCCCCUGUGGAUGACAAACUUUGAUAUUUAUUUUAUCAUCGAUAUCAGUGAGUCCAUAUUUAUAAAGCGAGGAGCUCUUACAGGAAAGCAUUUGUCAAAUACCUAAUUACAAAAUAUAUUGACCUUCAUAUUCUAAGUCAAGUGAUAUAUUUUGUAUCAUUUUCUGCAGAAUUAUGAUAAAGCACAGUGUGUAUAAAGUCAAGUUACCCAUUAUUCUAGCACUGUUUAGUGUUUAUAUGACACAUGCCAAACAUGAGAAUAACCCCCGUUUGAAAAUGUAUUUUUUUGGUUACUUACAGCUACCUUAUUUUUUUCUUCUUCUUUUUUUUUUUUUUUCUUUGAGAUGGAGUCUUGCUCUGUCACCCAGGUUGGAGUGCAGUGGCACGAUCUAGGCUCACUGCAAGCUCUGCCUCCCGGGUUCACUCCAUUCUCCUGCCUCAGCCUCCCGAGGAGCUGGGACUACAGGCAUCCGCCGCCACGCCCGGC
Molecule: long non-coding RNA, 5053 nt
Filed under: Homo sapiens (human)
Lineage: Eukaryota; Metazoa; Chordata; Mammalia; Primates; Hominidae
Description: non-protein coding lnc-KLF6-18:3
Source: RNAcentral